AUGAAAGCAUUUCUUAAACCUUUCGUAGAUGAAUGCUGUGAUUUAGCUCAAAAUCCGUUCCACUGGAUGGACAGCAACGGCUCUGUUCACUCCUCAAAAGUCUUCGCCGUGAUUUGCUCCUCCGAUGCAGAGGCAAGGCCACUCCUUCGAAACUGCAAGAAAUUUAAUGGUGAACACGGUUGUGACUGGUGUUUACAUCCGGGUACAACAGUUGAAAAGGGUUCAGGAUCUAUGAGAUCCUACACAUAUGAUAAAGAAAAGCGAAGGGCACGAUCAGAUGAAAUGUUCAGACAUAAUGCAGAAACUGCAGACCACACAGGAGAGCCCAACAAUGGAGUAAAAGGACAUAGUUUGCUCUCUAAUAUUCCAAAGUUUGACAUGGUUUUUGGAUUUAUCCCAGAGUACAUGCACUCAGUUCUUCUUGGUGUGACCAGACAGCUGAUGUCUCUGUGGUUGGAUCCAAGUAAUUCUGCAAAGCCUUGGUUUGUAGGUGAACAGAUUUCAGAAAUGGACCGCCGUCUUCUUGGUCUAAAGCCACCAGUGGAAAUUUCCGAAUCUCCACGCUCCCUGAAGUGUAGGGACAGUUGGAAAGCAUCUGAGUGGCGAGCGUUCCUUUUGUUUUAUGUCAUACACGUCCUACCACGUUUCUUGUCGUGCAAGUUUCUUGAACAUUUUUUUCUCUUGUCAUUUAGUAUUCACAUUCUACUACAAGAAUCAAUAUCCCAAGAUGACCUUCAGUUGGCCCAUGACUACUUGGUGCACUUUGUUGUAAACAUGAAAGUACUUUAUGGUGAAGAAAACGUAUCCUUUAACUGUCAUCAGUUAAUCCACUUAUCUAAAAGUGUACUAAACUGGGGCCCUCUCUGGGCUACAUCAGCAUUCAGUUUUGAGAGAAACAACGGAGCUUUAUGGUCUCUGCUUAAAACCAAUAAUUACAACGCAAAACACGUUACUGAGAAGUUCCACACAUGGCAACACAUACCCAGACACAUUAGUUCUUUAGUUUAUAACCAUUGUUCAGAUUUUAGCAGUUUAUUAACCAAGAUGUCACCAGGGAAUGAUGGCAGCGGCUCUUUCAAACCCUUAGGAGAAGCACAUCUCCUGGAUCUAAAAGAAUCCAUAAAACUGAUGCUAGAAAGACUCUUUAAUCGACGAGUUUUUGCCAAAUCAGUGGAAACUUAUGAUAAAUUCACUUACAGCCACACUGUUUAUCACUCUACAAACUUUGAAAAGUCUGACAAAACAGACUGUGUUAUUGAACUUAAAAAUGGGUCCUAUGGAGAAAUGCACAUGUUGUUGUUUUUGAAAGAGAACUGUAUGUGCACAUCCAGCUGUGUGUGCCAGGUCAUUCCAGUCAUUGUGGUAAACAUGUAUGUCACCAAACCUGUGGAACUGUUUGGACAAACUGUUCCCUGUAGACCAUCGAAGACUGUGUUUGUGACAGCUGAGAGCACAGGACAGCUCAAAGCUUUCUUCUUAGAGAACAUCAGAUGCAAACGUAUGUAUGUAAAUGGCUUGCUUGUGCCUGUACCAAACACACAUGAGAGAUAUUAG
Sphaeramia orbicularis (orbiculate cardinalfish) is the source of this 1554-nucleotide long non-coding RNA. Lineage: Eukaryota; Metazoa; Chordata; Actinopteri; Kurtiformes; Apogonidae. The record is from Ensembl.